This 349-nucleotide transfer-messenger RNA is filed under the name Candidatus Avimonas intestinalis. Its description in RNAcentral is "Avimonas intestinalis Standard tmRNA". It matches the Rfam family "transfer-messenger RNA". From Rfam's summary of the family: Bacterial tmRNA, also known as 10Sa RNA or SsrA, is named for its dual tRNA and mRNA-like properties. Its role is to liberate the mRNA from a stalled ribosome. Lineage: Bacteria; Bacillati; Bacillota; Clostridia. The record is from RNAcentral. RNAcentral also lists the same sequence under 1 other name.
GGGGGCGUAAAGGUUUCGACGGGGAUUGUGAACCUGGGUAAGCGAGUAGCGGGGCAGGGCCGCUUUAAAACCUGUAACCUUAUAAAUUAAACAACAACAACUCUGUUGCUGUCGCGGCCUAAUUAGGCUGCCGUCUUUACCUGCCAUACCGCGGGCGGGAUAAAGGCGUCGAUGAGCGGUGAACGUGAACGGGGGAGGGCCGCGGCUCCCGUCAUGACCAAGCGGCUACUGUAACAGGAAGCCUGCCUUUCGGCGUCCUGUGAGGGGAAUCCCAAAGGAUCGGCUGCACUCGGAGAAAGCCCAGGCAAGUGAUUUUCGGACAGGGGUUCGACUCCCCUCGCCUCCACCA